UACGUAGGGGGGCUAGCGUUGUCCGGAAUCAUUGGGCGUAAAGAGCGUGUAGGCGGCCCGGUAAGUCCGCUGUGAAAGUCGGGGGGCUCAACCCUCGAAUGCCGGUGGAUACUGUCGGGCUAGAGUGCGGAAGAGGCGAGUGGAAUUCCUGGUGUAGCGGUGAAAUGCGCAGAUAUCAGGAGGAACACCGAUUGCGAAGGCAGCUCGCUGGGACGUAACUGACGCUGAGACGCGAAAGCGUGGGGAGCAAACAGG
RNAcentral lists this ribosomal RNA (255 nucleotides) under uncultured bacterium. RNAcentral describes it as "partial 16S ribosomal RNA". It matches the Rfam family "Bacterial small subunit ribosomal RNA", at positions 524 to 776 of the family's 1533-position model. The record is from RNAcentral.